GUGGAGUUUUUCAUCAAACAGAAAGAGAUUUUCUGAACCGAUGACACUUCUGGAGUGGCUGUGACCGGUCUUACACCUGGAACAAAAAACAGAAAUGGGUUUUAUUGCCUAAAUUCAUUACACUUCGAACAGAUCAGGCCGACGCUCAGGCUUCUGCUGCAGAAGAGAGCAGAUCAAAUGGCAGCAACCUGUGCAGAAAGAUGGAGAGACGUCUGAUUAUUACCGUAAACUUUACAUCCACUCUUCUGAAUCCUUAUUCUAAGAUCUUCAGGUCAAAAGUAUCUGGAAAGUAUCCGCACAGCAUUCUGAACAAGAGGAUCCCCAGAGUCCAGACCGUCGCCGGCUUUCCAUGAAACUCGCCCUUCAUCCUGUACUCGGGAGGGCAGUACAUGAUUGUGCCUGG
Long non-coding RNA from Megalobrama amblycephala (Wuchang bream), 403 nucleotides. RefSeq lists it as uncharacterized. The record is from RefSeq and is a predicted model, not a curated record. NCBI's taxonomy places the organism in Eukaryota, Metazoa, Chordata, Actinopteri, Cypriniformes, Xenocyprididae. The transcript is spliced from 3 exons.